UAAAUAAAAAUAGUGUGAGAUACUAUUUUUAUUGGACUUAUAGAAGUAAAAUAUAAGUCGGGAACGACUCGUGCGGAAAUCGAAGCGAGAACAGAAGAUUUUGAAUUUUCUGUAUGAAUCGAUGCUGUUAUUUUAGCAGAAAAUGCAUAGUGUCAGAAAAUUCCGAAAAUCUGGGAAUAUGUCAGAAUUAUUUUUAUGAGGCUAGAUUUAAGGUUUCAUGUCAUUCUGACAUUCGGAAGGUGAAAAAUAAAAUCCGACAGUUAUCUGAUAAAGAUUACAGUUCGGUACAGCUUUCGGUGACCAAACGGGGUCGAAACUGAAAGAUUAAAAUUUUUUUCGUUAAGUAAGGUUAGACCGAGCAUGACUGCCAAAUUUGAGCUCAAUCAGACGUUCAGAAGGGCGGACGAAAAAUAUCUGUAUCUGAGCUAUAAUCUGAUGUGAAUAGUGUUUUGGGAGUAUAUAUAGGUGAACUUGCACUCUUUUUUUCUCAUUUGUGCCCAACCCGAGAGAGACUUGGAGAGCAAGUUUCUUUUCUCUUUUUCUCUCUUUCUCUCUAGUUCUCACCCCUCACUCCUUUUCUCUUCUAAUCUCUCCACAAAAGAGAAUUAAUUGGAGAAGAAGUUGGAGAGUAGCUUGGAGCUCAAGCUUUUAUCUUCUUCCUCUCUAUUAGAGAAAGCUUUGGAGGUAAGUUUUGGUAGUAACUUUGGUAGAUUGCUAAGGAAUGAUUCGUAUGCUCUACGAAUGGGUUUAGAGAACUCCCUAGAUGCUAAUAACAUGUUAAUUGCAUGAAUCAAGUUCCAAUUUGGUGAUUUCUUGCAAUAGUAGCAUGUUAAGGCUCAAAUUGGGGUUCUGCAAUAUGUAGAGGUUUGAUCUAAAUUGAGCAUGUAUAAACCUAAUUGCUAGGUUUUCUGACACGUUGGCGAAGUCGGUUCGGUGAUACGACGAGGCUACGCGAAGAUAUUGAAGAAAAGGCCGAUUUCGGUACAGAUUGUCGCAGCUCGCGGCGUAAGCUUCCAAAAAUCACGAAACCCGAAUCGUAGCAUCGUGACAUCACCUAAAGUCUUGGAGCUAAGAGAGUCGGAGGCACGAAGGGUCGCGUGUAGCUCUUGGUGGGUUUGACCUAGCUACAAAUGAGAAAAUCUCAUUUAUGUGGAUUUAAGUAUCGUAAAAUAGAAAAUCACGUAUUUUCAUGAAAGAUGCAUUAUUUGUGAAUUUUAGAAUGCUUGAAAUGCUUAUGUUAUAUACAAUGCAUUUUCGGACCUCUAUGUAGUAGAGAGCUUGCAUGUGAGACUUAUGCAUGGGUUUAACAUUCUGAUUGGGACUUGAAAUCAUGCUCCAUAUAGUAGACAUGACAAAUGUAAUAUGCCUUGGAUAUAAAUCUCAUUUGGACAUAAGAGAAUACAUUAGGCCAUAAAGUGGCUUUGGACUUGAAUAACUUGUGAGUUAGGGAGCUAAUGUCGUAAUGCGACAUCGGGCUUGAGCUAUGAAUGAGUCUAGCAAAGUAAUGCCAUAGAGAGGCAUUAGACUUGAAUGAUAUGUGAAUUGUAUGUGCAUGUUAAUAUUAUGAGAAUUAUGCUAAAUUGGUAGUUGCAUUGGAAAAUGUAUGCAUGUAGCAUUAUGAAAACUAUGCUAUGUUGAUAGUUGCAUACGGAUACAUUGAAACCAUAUAUUAGUGGAUAGAUGCAUGUUAAUA
Molecule: long non-coding RNA, 1693 nt
Filed under: Ananas comosus (pineapple)
Lineage: Eukaryota; Viridiplantae; Streptophyta; Magnoliopsida; Poales; Bromeliaceae
Description: long non-coding RNA (ACOM_LNC040559)
Source: RNAcentral